Molecule: ribosomal RNA, 253 nt
Filed under: uncultured bacterium
Lineage: Bacteria
Description: partial 16S ribosomal RNA
Rfam family: Bacterial small subunit ribosomal RNA
Source: RNAcentral
UACGUAGGGUGCAAGCGUUGUCCGGAAUUAUUGGGCGUAAAGAGCUCGUAGGCGGUUUGUUGCGUCGGCUGUGAAAUCCCGAGGCUCAACCUCGGGUCUGCAGUCGAUACGAGCAAACUAGAGUGUUGCAGGGGAGACUGGAAUUCCUGGUGUAGCGGUGAAAUGCGCAGAUAUCAGGAGGAACACCGAUGGCGAAGGCAGAUCUCUGGGCCGUUACUGACGCUGAGGAGCGAAAGCAUGGGGAGCGAACAGG